CUGAACCUUCGGGGAACGAUAACGGCGUCGAGCGGCGGACGGGUGAGUAAUGCCUAGGAAAUUGCCUUGAUGUGGGGGAUAACCAUUGGAAACGAUGGCUAAUACCGCAUAAUGCCUACGGGCCAAAGAGGGGGACCUUCGGGCCUCUCGCGUCAAGAUAUGCCUAGGUGGGAUUAGCUAGUUGGUGAGGUAAUGGCUCACCAAGGCGACGAUCCCUAGCUGGUCUGAGAGGAUGAUCAGCCACACUGGAACUGAGACACGGUCCAGACUCCUACGGGAGGCAGCAGUGGGGAAUAUUGCACAAUGGGCGAAAGCCUGAUGCAGCCAUGCCGCGUGUAUGAAGAAGGCCUUCGGGUUGUAAAGUACUUUCAGUUGUGAGGAAGGGGGUGUCGUUAAUAGCGGCAUCUCUUGACGUUAGCAACAGAAGAAGCACCGGCUAACUCCGUGCCAGCAGCCGCGGUAAUACGGAGGGUGCGAGCGUUAAUCGGAAUUACUGGGCGUAAAGCGCAUGCAGGUGGUUCAUUAAGUCAGAUGUGAAAGCCCGGGGCUCAACCUCGGAACUGCAUUUGAAACUGGUGAACUAGAGUACUGUAGAGGGGGGUAGAAUUUCAGGUGUAGCGGUGAAAUGCGUAGAGAUCUGAAGGAAUACCAGUGGCGAAG
This 660-nucleotide ribosomal RNA is filed under the name Vibrio sp. RNAcentral describes it as "bacterial SSU rRNA". It matches the Rfam family "Bacterial small subunit ribosomal RNA", at positions 67 to 720 of the family's 1533-position model. The record is from RNAcentral. Lineage: Bacteria; Pseudomonadati; Pseudomonadota; Gammaproteobacteria; Vibrionales; Vibrionaceae.